UUGAGAGUUUGAUCCUGGCUCAGGAUGAACGCUGGCGGCGUGCCUUAAGCAUGCAAGUCGAACGGGCCCGCAAGGGUCAGUGGCGGACGGUUGAGUAAUAGGCGGGAAUCUACCUCGAAGUGGGACAUAGCCAGCCGAAAGGUUGGGUAAUUUCCCAUGUGAUCGCAAGAUCAAAGCCGCAAGGCGCUUUGAGAUGAGCCUGCCUCCUAUCAGCUUGUUGGUGGGGUAAUGGCCUACCAAGGCAACGACGGGUAGCUGGUCUGAGAGGAUGGUCAGCCAGAGUGGGACUGCGACACGGCCCACACACCUACGGGUGGCAGCAACUAGGAAUCUUGGGCAAUGGGCGAAAGCCUGACCCAGCGACGCCGCGUGGAGGAUUGACGGCCUUCGGGUUGUAAACUCCUUUUAUCUGGGAAGAUUAUGACGGUACCAGAUGAAUAAGCACCUGCUAACUACGUGCCAGAAGCCUCGGUAAUACGUAGGGUGCAAGCGUUAUCCGGAUUUAUUGGGCGUAAAGAGUAGCGUAGGCGGUCCGAUGCAUUUUGCUUGAAAGCCCAUGGCUUAACCAUGGUUUUGGGCAAAAUAUGAUCGGACUUGAAGGUACAAUAGGGUGUUGGAACCGAUCGUGGAGCGGUGAAAUGCGUUGAUAUGAUCGGGAACGCCAAAGGUGUAGACAGACACCUGGUGUAUUCUUGACGCUUAGGCACGAAAGCUUGGGGAGCGAAGCAGAUUAGAGACCUGCGUAGUCCAAGCCGUAAACAAUGUCCGCUAGUUAUUGGCCUUUUUGGUCAGUGACGAAGUUAACACGUUAAGCGGACCGCCUGGGGAGUACGAGCGCAAGCUUAAAACUCAAAGGAAUUGACGGGGAGGCGCACAAGCAGUGGAGCGUGUGGUUUAAUUCGAUACCAAGCGAAGAACCUCACCAGGGCUUGACAUGCUAGAGUUCUAUCCCGCCGAAAGGCGGGAAAUCCGCAAGGAGGCUAGCACAGAUGCUGCAUGGCUGUCGUCAGCUCGUGGCGUGGGGUCUGAAAAAAGGCCCAUCGCGCCCGUUGAUAGUAAUGUCAAAUGGAAAAUUCGGCUCAUAUCGGUGAAUCUACUUGAUAUUCGGAUUAGCUUCGGAUAUUGUAAUAAGUAGUAAUACCGAGGGAAGUCGGGAAGAUGAUUUUCACUGCUCGUAAGAACUUAAAACUUGAUGUUUCUGAUAAACAAGUAGAGAUCCUUAUUGGUUGCUUAUUAGGAGAUGCUUAUCUUACAAAGUUAGGCAAAAUCCAAAUUGAGCAGUCAGAUAAGCAAGAAGAGUAUAUAAAAUGGAAGCAUCAAGAGCUAGCUUCGAUAAGUUAUUCCGGUUUAAAAGAGGUUGUCCGUUUUGAUAAACAGGACAAACGUGUUACAAAAUCCUUUCGAUUUUGGACUCGACAAUUCUUCAAAAGCUGGAGAGAUAUAUUCUAUCGAGGAGGUUGUAAAGUAUUCCCAAAAGAGUUAAAAGAACUAAUAACCCCAUUAGCUAUUGCUGUUUGGUAUAUGGAUGAUGGGAGUUAUGACAUGAAAUCUAACUAUAUGUUUUCAACAGAAUCAUUUGAUUUACAAAGUCGAAUAGAUUUAUUAAGAAAACUUGAGUUUUGGGAGGUAGAAGCAACCUUAAAAAAUAGUGGCAAGUUACGAAUUAGGAGUAAAAGUCUUAAAAAGUUCUUCGAGUUAGUGGGACCAUAUGUUCAUCAAAGUAUGAAAUAUAAACUUCCUUGACCCUGUAACGACUGAUAUGGAAGGUACCAGAUAAUCUGGAUCAAAACUUCCAUUACACGCCGGACUCCGUACCGUAAAGUCGACGGAGAUGGGAUAGUCUAAUUUUUGCUAAAUGCAAAUUUGGAGCUGUAUCAUUAAGUUGAGUAACGAGCGCAACCCUCACCGUAUGUUAAAUAAUUCAUACGGAACUGACCCGAUUUUUCGGGUAGGAAGGCGGGGAUGACGUCAAGUCAGCACGGCUCUUACGCCCUGGGCAACACACACCCUACAAUGGCGAAUAACAACGAGUUGCAAGCCGGUAACGGCAAGCUAAUCUCUGAAAUUUCGCCCCAGUUCAGAUCGAGGUCUGAAACCCGACCUCGUGAAGUCGGAAUUGCUAGUAAUCGCGAAUCAGCAGGUCGCGGUGAAUACGUUCUCGCCUCUUGUACACACGUCCUAUAGCAUAGGAAUAAAUGCGCGCCUAGCAGCUUACUAAGCAAGGUGGUUUAAAUCCAUCCUUGUAGCUAAAAAAAUUUGGCAGAGACAAUUUGGUGACAGAUGUCUUGGAGGGCCUGAAGCAAAAGGCAGCCUAACAUUUAACAGAAGUUCGACCCCUACGGUGUGUUAGUGGGGAAGAACAUUAAAAAUUCUGGUUAGGAUGUCUGGAAUUGUUUAGUAAGUGACCUAGGGAGAUCUCUUCUUGACAUUUGGGUAAUAUUCGGGCUAUCUUAAUAUUAAGAUGUCCUUGAAGAAGAGAAGUCAGCUGAUCCAUAGUACUACGUUUAGUUAUAUGAAUGUAGGAAGGGAGAAACCUGAAAGUUUGUCUGAUGAUUAUAUUAUUGGCUUAACUGAUGGAGAGGGAUGUUUUUAUGUCGAUAUUAGAGCUCCAAAAGGAGAAUAUAAAUCUUAUCGAGUAGAACUUCAUUUUUUCAUUAAAUUAAGGGAAGAUGAGCUUUUAUUAUUACAAAAAGUUCAAAAAUUUAAAGAACUAUUUGCUAUUUCGUCGAAUUGCCUUAAUGGUUAAAAAUGGCGAACAUAGAAGUAAUAAAGGCUUAAUAAAAAUCCAGCAGAUAAAGUCACAGAUGAAUAACAGGGCUCGCCCGGUGCGGGAAAUCCGCUCGCCGGGUGGGAACUCGAAGUAACCCAAACUAUCGAAAUCCGCCCGUCACGGCAGCAAAGUUGGGGGCACCCGAAGUCUGAUGUAUGUCGGACGAAGGUGAAACCAGCGAUGAGGCUGAAGUCGUAACAAGGUAUCCCUAGCCGAAGCUGGGGAUGGAUCACCUCCUU
RNAcentral lists this ribosomal RNA (3009 nucleotides) under Candidatus Daviesbacteria bacterium GW2011_GWA1_41_61. Its description in RNAcentral is "bacterial SSU rRNA". The stretch from base 1 to 1344 matches the Rfam family "Bacterial small subunit ribosomal RNA". Lineage: Bacteria; Candidatus Daviesiibacteriota. The record is from RNAcentral. RNAcentral also lists the same sequence under 1 other name.